Long non-coding RNA from Phalaenopsis equestris, 440 nucleotides. RefSeq lists it as uncharacterized. Lineage: Eukaryota; Viridiplantae; Streptophyta; Magnoliopsida; Asparagales; Orchidaceae. The record is from RefSeq and is a predicted model, not a curated record. The transcript is spliced from 3 exons.
UUUCUGUUAUAUAAUUGAGUCACUGUAGCAGUUCUACAAUUUCCCACAUCUGAGCUUAACUAAUCAGCUGAAGUAAAUAUGUAAUCCAUUGCUUUAACCCAUUCCAUGGUCGUUUGUUCACUUGAGAGAUGGGCGUAGUAGCUCUCGGGCUAUAGGUGCUGCAGCCAAAGCAGAAGGAAAGAAUCGAGGAGAAGAAAAAUGGAAGGAGAAGAGAAAAGAAAGUUAAGGAGGGAAGGAAAUAAGGAAGAAGAUAUUGGGAGCAGGUUUGGCUUUAGAUUUACAGAGAGGUUAUGGUGAAAGAAGAUUAGAAGUAAAAGUUGGAUGGUGGUCAAUUUCAGAUUAUUUAUAUGAGGAGGUGAACUUAAGGAGAGUUUGGGAAGUCUCGUUAGGUGGACUCGACGACUGAGGUGAGAUAAUCAAUUGUUAAAUCAAGUAGCUAA